RNAcentral lists this transfer RNA (74 nucleotides) under Felis catus (domestic cat). Its description in RNAcentral is "tRNA-Arg (CCT) (tRNA-Arg-CCT-12-1)". The record is from RNAcentral. Lineage: Eukaryota; Metazoa; Chordata; Mammalia; Carnivora; Felidae.
GCACUGACUGGCUCAGUCGGAAGAGUGUGUGACUCCUGAUCUCAGGGUCGUGAGUUCGAGGCUCACGUUGGGUG